CACGGGGUUGCGAGCGUUGUCCGGAAUUACUAGGCGUAAAGGGCAGGCAGGCGGAUCCAUAAGUUUACCGUUUAAGGCGUCGGCUUAACCGGCGUAGGGCGGUAGAUACUGUGGAUCUGGAAUGCGGUUGGGGAAGACAGAAUUCCUGGUGUAGCGGUGGAAUGCGCAGAGAUCAGGAGGAAUACCGAAGGCGAAGGCAGUCUUCCAAGCCGUUAUUGACGCUCAACUGCGAAGGUGUGGGUAUCAAACAGGAUUAGAUACCCCGGUAGUUCCUGAGCGGG
RNAcentral lists this ribosomal RNA (281 nucleotides) under uncultured prokaryote. RNAcentral describes it as "partial 16S ribosomal RNA". It matches the Rfam family "Bacterial small subunit ribosomal RNA", at positions 524 to 803 of the family's 1533-position model. The record is from RNAcentral.